Molecule: long non-coding RNA, 909 nt
Filed under: Phasianus colchicus (ring-necked pheasant)
Lineage: Eukaryota; Metazoa; Chordata; Aves; Galliformes; Phasianidae
Description: lncRNA (ENSPCLG00000014374.1)
Source: RNAcentral
UUAUGAUCCUCAGUGAAGACAAGUGAAAUCUGUACUGUAACAUGGACUAGCAUUCAGGAACAAUUUACUACUGAGCAGUGGAUGAUCUAAAUGCUGCCAUUGCUUUCUUGAUCCAUGACAUGCCUUAACAUUGCCUUUGGAAGUCUAACUCUAGGAAAUAUUUUCAGACUGCCUUCUAAAGGAGACUGACCUGAGACGCAUGGCAUCAUUAAAUUGGGAAUGAUGCUGGACAUGCACUGCAACCACAGAAGUGAAAGGAUGGAGCCUCAGGUUACUGUCAGGCAGCCUGGGCUGUUUACUGCUUCCCAAGUGCUGCUGUUCGCUGUGCAGAGGAAGCCGGCAACUGUGUGUGAAGGAUCAAAAAGAGAGCAUCAAGCUCCAUUCCUGUAAUUUACUCAGGGAUUGUUUCUUCACGUCUUUUAUUCUCAGCAUAAGUGGAUUGAUUCAAGGAUGAAAAUGGAAGGCAUUUCUCUCUACAGAGCACAUUUCAAUUUAAUCGGAUUUUUCUCUCUAUAGAAGUGGGCCACAGAGCUAUUACCCAAUGUCAUGUAUAAGUAAUUCCACCUCUGUUUUUUACUUUAUAUCUGAUAACUGGGGUUCUGUAGAAAUCAAAAGCUGACACAUUUGAAUUAUGUUAUCCUUUACUAUACUGAAUAUGGAGUAAGAAAUGCAGAACGCAAGGAGGUCCCCUCCACCUCAGUUAGAGAUGAAUCUGUAAAUCCAGGUUACACUGGCCAGAGUGCUCUCAUGCUCUUGUUUUCCUGAUAACUGCCUUCCACAAAUGCAGUUUGCCUCUGUCUGCGUGCCGCUGGUCCAUACCUUAUAUUUUUCUCUUUUUUUUCCUUGUUUUCUCUUUCUGGAAGUUUAAAUCUGAGUCCCAAUCUAUUUCUUAUUUUAUCUUACUUUUCC